Molecule: non-coding RNA, 162 nt
Filed under: uncultured Ruminococcus sp.
Lineage: Bacteria; Bacillati; Bacillota; Clostridia; Eubacteriales; Oscillospiraceae
Description: Lysine riboswitch
Rfam family: Lysine riboswitch aptamer
About the family: Riboswitches are metabolite binding domains within certain messenger RNAs that serve as precision sensors for their corresponding targets.
Source: RNAcentral
AAGGUAGAGGUGCGGUUAAAAUAAGUACCUGAAUAUCGGAUAACCAAUCCUGUGAUAUUCAGUGAAAGGUGCAACCGCCGAAGGAUUGUUUCUGGUAAACUCAAUUCUGGUCACUGGCUUAACAGGUUUUUGACUGUCAUCAUACAUGAUGGAGAGCUAUCA